CAGGCCUAACACAUGCAAGUCGAACGGAAAGGCCUUUUCGGAGGUACUCGAGUGGCGAACGGGUGAGUAACACGUGGGUGAUCUGCCCUGCACUCUGGGAUAAGCCUGGGAAACUGGGUCUAAUACCGGAUAGGACUGCACUUUAGUGUGUGUGGUGGAAAGUUUUUUCGGUGUAGGAUGAGCCCGCGGCCUAUCAGCUUGUUGGUGGGGUAAUGGCCUACCAAGGCGGCGACGGGUAGCCGGACUGAGAGGUUGGUCGGCCACAUUGGGACUGAGAUACGGCCCAGACUCCUACGGGAGGCAGCAGUGGGGAAUAUUGCACAAUGGGCGCAAGCCUGAUGCAGCGACGCCGCGUGGGGGAUGACGGCCUUCGGGUUGUAAACUCCUUUCGCCAGGGACGAAGCGUUUUGUGACGGUACCUGGAGAAGAAGCACCGGCUAACUACGUGCCAGCAGCCGCGGUAAU
Molecule: ribosomal RNA, 465 nt
Filed under: uncultured bacterium
Lineage: Bacteria
Description: bacterial SSU rRNA
Rfam family: Bacterial small subunit ribosomal RNA
Source: RNAcentral